Arvicola amphibius (Eurasian water vole) is the source of this 1219-nucleotide long non-coding RNA. RefSeq lists it as uncharacterized. The record is from RefSeq and is a predicted model, not a curated record. Lineage: Eukaryota; Metazoa; Chordata; Mammalia; Rodentia; Cricetidae. The transcript is spliced from 4 exons.
CCAUGUGAGUAUGCAGAUAACUUCCCUCAUGUUAGCCUGCAGCACAUGGCCUGUGGCAGGUGCUGAACACUUUGGUGUCUAUUUUCUGUCUUCUUGGGGGAUGACGAUCAAAGACACCUGCCUUGGCCCCUCCUCAGAGAGCUGUUCACUCCACAGCCCACGUGACCGUCACGCCACAAACCUAUCUUCCCACUGAUCAAGUCUUGUAGUCUCACAAGGCUGACGUGCACAGAACCCAACGGAAGAAAAAAGAAAAAAUGCAGGCCAGCUGAGGAUUCAUGGAAUCCUGAGCUCAGCAACUGGGUUUGUUCUCAACAGCUCUGCAUUUUAUCUGCCUGAAGGCUGACCUCUAUGCAUAUCAGGAGCUUUGACGAAGACAGAAGACAAAUGGGCAAAAACCAGCAUCCAUCUGCAAUUCAUUUCAACUGCCAAUUGCUAACCACUGGGAAAAACUGCUUAUCAUCUAACUGAAGAUCUCCAGACAGUGGACAGAAUCGCUGGAAUUGACAGCCUAGCUGCACAGGUAAAGGGAGGCUUGUCUUCCUACAUAUUUCUUAUCCCACAGCAUCUUCUAGAGCCUGGCAUGUCCUGUGCUAAACACCAGAAGAAAAAUACAACCCUCAGCAACCUGAGGAGUAGCUCUAGGUGCCAACCAAGUAAGUUCUUUGUCAUUUCUAAAUCAACAACUCAAGUAAAAUUUUAUCCUUCUCAAAGAUCUCUGAUGUAGUUUGACAGUUGAGAGGUUUUGUGAUUCAAUAGGACAGCCUCACCAAACAAAUUUCAACAAGUACACGUUAUCAAAUCUUUCUCAUGCUGCCUUCCAUAGUCUUAAAAAUACUUUUCAUUGUGCAAAACCAUCUGUCACAAUCAUUCUGGCACAAAUAUGCUACUGUUUAUACAAUGUAUAUGUCUAAAACUUAAGUUUUCACAAACCCAAAGAAUUAUUGUGAGUUCCAGGGAGCCGAAUUAAAGAAUCUACCUUAAGCAGGUCAGAUAUAUCCUUCUCAAUUUCCUGGUACUAAAAAUUUAUUUUCCUAAACUUAACUUUGUCCUCUGUUCUGCCAAUACUUUAAACAGGUGUAAGAGACACCAGACAUUUCCAUACCACAAACACCGGACAGGAGUAAAGAGACCAGCUACUCCAGGAUGUGACCAGCACCCAGCUUUCUCUAGUCCCCCAAGACAAAACCCACAAAUAAACAGGAAGCAGUCUUGAGAA